Molecule: small nuclear RNA, 185 nt
Organism: Oreochromis aureus
Lineage: Eukaryota; Metazoa; Chordata; Actinopteri; Cichliformes; Cichlidae
Gene: U2
Rfam family: U2 spliceosomal RNA
About the family: U2 is a small nuclear RNA (snRNA) component of the spliceosome (involved in pre-mRNA splicing).
Source: Ensembl
AUCGCUUCUCGGCCUUUUGGCUAAGAUCAAGUGUAGUAUCUGUUCUUAUCAGUUUAAUAUCUGAUACGCCCCGAUUCGGGGCAACGAUAAACCCAUUUUAGAACAGGGAGCUGAAUAAAGGGGCUCGCCUCCGUUCGCUCCACGCAUCGACCGGUAUUGCAGCGCCCGGGAACGGUGCCCCUUUG